RNAcentral lists this signal recognition particle RNA (148 nucleotides) under Gorilla gorilla gorilla (western lowland gorilla). Its description in RNAcentral is "Metazoan signal recognition particle RNA". It matches the Rfam family "Metazoan signal recognition particle RNA". Rfam says of the family: The signal recognition particle (SRP) is a universally conserved ribonucleoprotein. The record is from Rfam by way of RNAcentral. Lineage: Eukaryota; Metazoa; Chordata; Mammalia; Primates; Hominidae.
GCUGGGCAUGGUUGUGCAUGCCUGUAAUCCCAGCUACUUGGGAGGCUGAGGCAGGAGAAUCACUUGAACCCAGGAGGCGGAAGUUGCAGUGAGCCGAGAUCAUGCCACUGCACUCCAGCCUGGGCAACAGAGUGAGACCCCGUCUCAA